GUCGGAGUUAGCUAUGAAUUAAGAAGAUAAAUUGAUCAAAUUAGACACUAUAAUGAAGUUGCAACACUUCCAUCCUGAAGUUGCAACGCUCCGACGAAAGGUGGCGUACGAGCAGAGCCGAGUGAAGUCAGGGAGUCACUACAGAGUCGUCGUGUCGAGCGGACGUGUACUGCCGUUCUAGUCGGGCAGUCUACCGCGAACCAUCGUCAUGAGCGGACGUGUCGAAUAAUUACGAGGAGUGCUAUAGUCGCUUACCUAUAACUUGUAGGGACGUCAAGAAAGUGUGAUCGGAAAAGAGUACCUAGCAAGUACGUUCACAUGUCCCGAUGAUUCGGUCCGAAUAUAGGAACCAUGGGUGGUGGAGGGCAAGUAGAGGGCGAGUAGCCCUUUCGCGCUAACGCCCUUAGGCGCGUUAAAUUACGAGAGACUGUGUAACCGUUACGAAUACCGUGAAGUUGCCGUGAGUGUGUAUCUUAUUCUGUAACUUUAUCUAAUCGUGAUACAAAAACUAUGUGGAAGUAAAUAAAAUGAUUGUGAUACUGAUGACGGCCAUUAUUGUCUUCUAACGCCCACCCUCCAUUAUGAUGAUGAUGUUACGACCGACACCGACCCACUGCUACGACAUCAGAAGCGGGAUUAGUGGACUUGGAUGAAGACAACGUGAUGUGACGUUCACAACAAGACAAUGCAAGUUUCGAUUAUCACAAUCAGAAGAAGAUUAUGAUGAUUAUCACAUUCGUGUGACCACGUGAUGAAGAUGUAGUGUCAUGCCUGAAUUUGGAGAUGGACCUGAAUUUGAAGUGACCUGGACCUUGUUAAUGAUCGACAUCACUACAUGCCGUAAGAUAUGAUGGCGUGAACAUCACAAUAUGUCCAUACUGUGUGCAGUCGUGUUUGAAAAUUAUGGAACCUGAAAUUGAAAACUGUUAUUACGGUGAGUCGUUUUCAUACUGGAACCUUAUUGUUGUUGACUUUAUUGCUAUGUGAAUUUCCGUUUCUAAUAAUGAGGAAAUUGUUUUUUAAAAAAAACAAAAUUGACGAGACACAUUGUGUCAAUCCGUGUCAAUCACACCGCGUUUUCCAAUCUGUUUUCAUCAUCGUAAAAUCUUUGUAUUUUGGUCUAAAAAUAUUUCGAAUUGGUGUAGACACGCUUGACCUGCGUGGUUAAAGUUGUAUUUUCUCACUCCAAGCAAAAAGAAAUUAAUCAUGACAUGAUAAUUGAGUCUCGUUAAAUAACGUGUUUUGUAAUCUACCGUCAUUCAUCAAAUGUUUCAAUAUUCAACAUUCUUUAAUAAUCUUUUUAAACCGAUUGAAAGAAAGUCAUGUGAAUACAAUAACACAGUGAAUUCUUUUGUUUCAUGUCAUAACUUGGUUCGGCAAUUGGUGGAUUGCAAGCGGCGAUGUAAGUGGCGCGGGCUGAGCUGUAGUCGUGUAAAGUGACGACAUCAUGGCAGCGAGUUGUAUACCAGCCGGACUUGCUGCGCUGGUGAAGACCUAAACCAUGUCACAAGACCAGUGGUUGAUCUUUUAUUGGAAAUUCUUAUAAGUCCCGGUGAGUCGUAUUUGUUUUACCUGACUUGAAAGAUGGAAAGUUUUAAUAGGAUACAAACGAAUAUAGUGCAGAAAGUUCUCUUUUGUUAACUUUAGUUAAAUUGGGAAUCGUAAUGAAGUGAAGUAAACAUUCUGAAGUAAAAUGAUUUGGAUUAUGAUUACUUAAAUGAAAUAGGCUUAGAAAAUGCCCGAAACAGUAAAUCAUUAGUGAGAAAAUUGGAGCAAAACAUUCUAAAUGAUGAUCAUACCGAAUCAGUAAUUGUGUAAGUGCGGUAAUAUUUCCUCGAGGUGUUGGUCGCUACACUGUGACUUUAUGACUUGUGUGUGUGAGAGCAGGGUGCUCUGUCGUUUUGUGGUCGUGGACCAUGGUGGCCAUCCCGGGAGGGGAUGUUGUGACUUAUGACUGUUUUGUAGCGUAACCACAGUUUGGGGAGGAAUAUUACAGUCUGUUGUGCUUUGCAGUAGAUGUGUAGUAAUGUUGGUUGAUUUAAUUGAGUAAUGAAAGCUAUGAUUGACCUGUUUCGGAGCAACUCUGAUAGGAAGCUGCGCACUUGUAGUGUUCGGGGCUGCAGCCACUUUUGUGCUGCUCGUCUUAGAAACUACAGGUAUGCGGUCGAGGCCUGGAUGUCAUGUUGACUUUGUAUUUGGUCAUGACAUUGUACCUGAAUCUAAGUCAAGUUGACCUCCGGUAGAAUUAGUCGAACUGCACAAAUUAGAAAUUAGUGAUAUAAAAGAAAUUGUGUAACGCAUUGACCACUAUUCUACCAACUAAAAUGUACGUAAAGUUUGUGUGCUAGCUGUGUUGAGAUAUCGUCACUUGGUGUAAGUGGCAUGAGUUGCUGUCGCUCGAUUUAGGUGGCAGUAACGACUGUGUUGGGAUAUCGUCACUUGGUGUAAGUGGCAUGAGUUGCUGUCGCUCGAUUUAGGUGGCAGCAACGACUGUGUUGAGAUAUCGUCACUUGGUGUAAGUGGCAUGAGUUGCUGUCGCUCGGUUUAGGUGGCAGCAACGACUGUGUUGAGAUAUCGUCACUUGGUGUAAGUGGCAUGAGUUGCUACCGCUCGAUUUAGGUGGUAGUGACGCCUGGUUGUGAGAUAUCGUCACUCAGUAGAGUGGCAUGAGUUGCUACCGCUCGAUUUAGGUGGUAGUGACGCCUGGUUUUGAGAUAUCGUCGCUCAGUAGAGUGGCAUGAGUUACUAUCGCUCGUUUAGGUGAUAGUAACGACCGAUGUGUAAAGAGUAAUUGGAUUUUCAAGUUUGGUUGUUUAUAGUGUGUGAAUACUGGUCAAUGGUCCGUGUAUUGUUAGUUGAUGAUUUAUCAUGAUGUAAUGUGAGCUCAUGUAGAGUCACAAGUAGAGCUCGUGUAGAGUCACAAGUAGAGCUCGUGUAGAGUCACAAGUAGAGCUCGUGUAGAGUCACAAGUAGAGCUCGUGUAGAGUCACAAGUAGAGCUCGUGUAGAGUCACAAGUAGAGUUCGUGUAGAGUCACAAGUAGAGCUCGUGUAGAGUCACAAGUAGAGCUCGUGUAGAGUCACAAGUAGAGUUCGUGUAGAGUCACAAGUAGAGCUCGUGUAGAGUCACAAGUAGAGCUCGUGUAGAGUCACAAGUAGAGCUCGUGUAGAGUCACAAGUAGAGCUCGUGUAGAGUCACAAGUAGAGCUCGUGUAGAGUCACAAGUAGAGCUCGUGUAGAGUCACAAGUAGAGCUCGUGUAGAGUCACAAGUAGAGCUCGUGUAGAGUCACAAGUAGAGCUCGUGUAGAGUCACAAGUAGAGCUCGUGUAGAGUCACAAGUAGAGCUCGUGUAGAGUCACAAGUAGAGCUCGUGUAGAGUCACAAGUAGAGCUCGUGUAGAGUCACAAGUAGAGCUCGUGUAGAGUCACAAGUAGAGCUCAUGUAGAGUUCAUGCAGAGAUCAUGCAGAGUCCUAUAUAGUCUCAUGUUAGGUCAGGAAUGACCGAGCGAACUUGGAUACUGUGCUGUGGUAUAUUGUUUCAGAUUAACACACGAGGACGUGUGUCACGCAGGAUGGCCGUGUCGGAGUUAGCUAUGAAUUAAGAAGAUAAAUUGAUCAAAUUAGACACUAUAAUGAAGUUGCAACACUUCCAUCCUGAAGUUGCAACGCUCCGACGAAAGGUGGCGUACGAGCAGAGCCGAGUGAAGUCAGGGAGUCACUACAGAGUCGUCGUGUCGAGCGGACGUGUACUGCCGUUCUAGUCGGGCAGUCUACCGCGAACCAUCGUCAUGAGCGGACGUGUCGAAUAAUUACGAGGAGUGCUAUAGUCGCUUACCUAUAACUUGUAGGGACGUCAAGAAAGUGUGAUCGGAAAAGAGUACCUAGCAAGUACGUUCACAUGUCCCGAUGAUUCGGUCCGAAUAUAGGAACCAUGGGUGGUGGAGGGCAAGUAGAGGGCGAGUAGCCCUUUCGCGCUAACGCCCUUAGGCGCGUUAAAUUACGAGAGACUGUGUAACCGUUACGAAUACCGUGAAGUUGCCGUGAGUGUGUAUCUUAUUCUGUAACUUUAUCUAAUCGUGAUACAAAAACUAUGUGGAAGUAAAUAAAAUGAUUGUGAUACUGA
Molecule: long non-coding RNA, 4122 nt
Filed under: Pectinophora gossypiella (pink bollworm)
Lineage: Eukaryota; Metazoa; Arthropoda; Insecta; Lepidoptera; Gelechiidae
Description: uncharacterized LOC126375605
Source: RNAcentral